AAGGAGGGGCUAUGAAAUAUCUUCACUCCAGGUUCUUUAUGAGCUGCAGUGUAUCAUUUUUAUCAGCAAUUGGAAGCAUGCUGCAUGUUGGACUCUGUGGACACCUGCUUUACACAACAGAACAUUCCAAUAGUGUGCAUGUGCCAUAAUACGUAUAGAAAUUCUAAGAAUUCAUAUAAUUUACCUGCCAAAUCAGGGACUAUUACAGUCUGCUGUGUAAAUUCACAUUUUGGCACUCUUUAAAAAGUGGAUUAUUAUUGACCCAAUAGACCAUAACAGCUCCAAAGAAGCCGUUACUGUACAUCGUGUAAAGCCUUCGUGGUGUGUGUUUUAUUGAAGCUCUGUAGCUAUCGGGAUCUGCUUGUCAAUCUAGCUGCCAUGCGCGUGCACCAAAUGCAUGUGCUAAAGAUGCCUUGUAAAUUGAAGCUUUAGUCAAGUUACCCUUGUUCUUGUCCAAUAAGCCAUGGUAUAAAAUUGGAUAUUUCCACUGCAGUUUCUUUCUCCACCUCCAGAAUUCUAUUUCCCUGUAUUUAUAGAGGUUGAAAUUUUGAAAUGUGGAUAAGGGAGUGGUUAUUUGAUUUCAAGUUUCAAAAAAAAAAAAGCAGGAAGAAAAUUGAAGACAGUUUUUGCUUUGCAUGAAAAAACAUCUCAAAGAAUGCAUGAAUUUACCAGCUUCCAGGAGGCUGGCAAUGGUCACAGUGAGAUUUCUCUACUUUAGGCUUUUGGGAAUCCAAAUAAGAUUUUUAUUUAAUUUUCUAUGUGCUGAUUUUGUGUUUUUCCACCUGUCUGUCCUCUUCUUUCAUUUAACAAAAAAUGAACAUUGGAAUAUUUGCCAGGAAAAAAAAAACACCUUUUUAGUUACUUGUACCUUCAGUAAAAAUAAAAUAACACUUUGAGGUCUCAAGCUGUAGGUG
RNAcentral lists this long non-coding RNA (914 nucleotides) under Pongo abelii (Sumatran orangutan). RNAcentral describes it as "lincRNA". Lineage: Eukaryota; Metazoa; Chordata; Mammalia; Primates; Hominidae. The record is from RNAcentral.